AUGUUUUCGUCGCAGUCCUUGAGCGGCGUCAACAACAUCCACACCGCCCUCAUCAAUGCCCAGAAGGGUAAUCAAUCUGUCGCCGCCUACUUCGCCUCCAUGCGUGGCCUCGCCUAUGAGCUUGCCUCGGUCGGCAAAGCCAUCCAGGAUGAUGAGCUGAUCUCCUACAUCAUCCAUGGGCUAGACAUGGACUACCAGCCCCUUGUCUCGUCCCUCGAUGCCCGCGUCACGCUCGUCUCCCUCAAUGAGCUCUUUGCCAUGCUCAGCAACUUCGAUCAGCGCGUGGCCCAGUUCCAGAACUUCGGUGGCGGCUUCAAGUCCUCUGCAAACGCGGCCAUGCGUGGACGUAGUGGCUCUCCCCACACCACCGCGGUCCUCCUCGUCCAAGGCCCUCGCUCUGGGCGCCCCAACUCCACCAACACCAAGGGACGCCGUGGUGGCUAUGGCAAGUCCCUCCCCGAUGUUGUCCGUUGUCAGAUCCGCGGCAAGCCUGGCCACAUGGCCAAGGACUGCUGGUACAGGUUCGAUGAGUAUGAUGCAUCUUCUGAAGAGGAUGACAAGGUGGUCGUAGCCGCGAAGGGAGCAUAUGGCGUGGGUACCAACUGGUAUCUCGACAGCGGCGCCACCAAUCAUCUCACGGGCGAGCUGGAGAAAGUGACUCUCUGCGAGAAGUAUCAUGGGAAGUAUCAGAUCCACACCACCAGCGGUGCAGGUAUGAGGAUCCGUCACAUAGGUCAUUCAGUUUUUCGUACCCCUUCCCGUAAGAUCCAUCUUCGUAAAAUUUUGCAUGUUCCUAGUGCCAACAAAAACCUUCUGUCCGUUCAUCGCAUCACCAUUGAUAAAAUGUUUUCAUUGAGUUUCAUCCCUUUUUCUUCUUGA
RNAcentral lists this ribosomal RNA (879 nucleotides) under Triticum aestivum (bread wheat). RNAcentral describes it as "partial small subunit ribosomal RNA". The stretch from base 139 to 277 matches the Rfam family "Small nucleolar RNA Z247". Lineage: Eukaryota; Viridiplantae; Streptophyta; Magnoliopsida; Poales; Poaceae. The record is from RNAcentral.